This 284-nucleotide ribosomal RNA is filed under the name Halomonas sp. SUBG004. RNAcentral describes it as "partial 23S ribosomal RNA". It matches the Rfam family "Bacterial large subunit ribosomal RNA", at positions 2663 to 2925 of the family's 2925-position model. Lineage: Bacteria; Pseudomonadati; Pseudomonadota; Gammaproteobacteria; Oceanospirillales; Halomonadaceae. The record is from RNAcentral.
UGAGAAGAGCUGCUCCUAGUACGAGAGGACCGGAGUGGACGACCCUCUGGUGUUCCGGUUGUCACGCCAGUGGCAUUGCCGGGUAGCUAUGGUCGGACGGGAUAACCGCUGAAAGCAUCUAAGCGGGAAGCCCCCUUCAAGAUGAGACAUCCCCGAGACCUAGAGUCUCCUAAAGGGCCCAGCGAGACCAGCUGGUGGAUAGGCACGGUGUGGAAGCGCUGCAAGGCGUUGAGCUAACGUGUACUAAUGGCCCGUGAGGCUUGACCCUAUAACACCCAAGGGGU